This is an RNA transcript of Betta splendens (Siamese fighting fish), 3865 nucleotides long. It is a transcript of the gene named NACHT, LRR and PYD domains-containing protein 12-like, with no coding region annotated. The transcript has 8 exons. The record is from RefSeq and is a predicted model, not a curated record. NCBI's taxonomy places the organism in Eukaryota, Metazoa, Chordata, Actinopteri, Anabantiformes, Osphronemidae.
AAGUCUCGACUGAGGCAGAAGUUCCAGUGUGUCUUUGAAGGCAUCGCUAAAGCAGGAAAGCCAACCAUUCUGAACCAGAUCUACACAGAGCUCUACAUCACAGAGGGAGGGACUGGAGAGGUCAACGAUGAACAUGAGGUCAGACAGAUUGAAACAGCCUUCAGGAAACCAGACAGAGCAGAAACAAGCAUCAGACCAGAAGACGUCUUUAAAGGCUCAGCUGGAAGAGAUGGAGCCAUCAGAACAGUGAUGACAAAGGGAGUGGCUGGCAUUGGGAAAACAGUCCUAACACAGAAGUUCACUCUGGACUGGGCUGAAGGCAAAGCCAACCAGGACAUACACUUCACAUUUCCAUUCACAUUCAGAGAGCUGAAUGUGCUGAAAGAUCAAAUGUUCAGCUUGGUGGAACUUGUUCAUCACUUCUUCACUGAAACUAAAGAAGCAGGAAUCUGCAGGUUUGAACACUUCAAGGUUGUUUUCAUCCUGGAUGGUCUGGAUGAGUGUCGACUUCCCCUGGACUUCAACAAGACUAAAACCCUGACUGAUGUCACAGAGUCCACCUCAGUGGAUGUGCUGCUGACAAACCUGAUCAGGGGGAACCUGCUUCCCUCUGCUCACCUCUGGAUCACCACACGACCUGCAGCAGCCAAUCAGAUCCCUCCUGACUGUGUUGACAUGGUGACGGAGGUCAGAGGGUUCACUGACCCACAGAAGGAUGAGUACUUUAGCAAGAGAUUCACAGAUGAGCAGCAGGCAGCAACAAUCAUCUCCCACAUUAAGAUGUCACGAAGCCUCCACAUCAUGUGCCACAUCCCAGUCUUCUGCUGGAUCACUGCUACGGUUCUGGAGGAGCUGCUGGAAACCAGAGAGGGAGGAGAGCUGCCCAAGACCCUGACGGAGAUGUACAUCCACUUCCUGGUGGUUCAGACCAAAGUGAAGAACAUCAAGUAUGAUGGAGGAGCUGAGACAGAUCCACUCUGGAGUCCAGAGAGCAGGAAGAUGAUUGAGUCUCUGGGAAAACUGGCUUUUGAGCAGCUGCAGAAAGGAAACCUGAUCUUCUAUGAGUCAGACCUGACAGAGUGUGGCAUCGAUGUCAGAGCAGCCUCAGUUUAUUCAGGGGUGUUCACACAGGUCUUUAAAGAGGAAAGAGGGCUGUAUCAGGACAAGGUGUUCUGAGGCUCUUCUGAGGUUGCUGCCUGUGGUAAAAGCUUCCAACACAGCUCUAUUACAGUUAGAGAGAAGCUGUGAAGCUCUGUCCUCAGUUCUCAGCUCUCAGUCCUCUAGUCUGAGAGAACUGGACCUGAGUAACAACAACCUGCAGGAUUCAGGAGUGAAGCUACUGUCUGUUGGACUGAAAAGUCCUCACUGUCGACUGGAGACUCUCAGCCUGAGUGUGUGUGACCUGUCAGAGAGAAGCUGUGAAGCUCUGUCCUCAGCUCUCAGCUCUCAGUCCUCUAGUCUGAGAGAACUGGACCUGAGUAACAACAACCUGCAGAAUUCAGGAGUGAAGGUUCUGUGUGCUGGACUGAAGAGUCCUCACUGUCGACUGGAGACUCUCAGGCUGUCAGGCUGUCUGCUCUCAGAGGAAGCUUGUGUCUCUCUGACCUCAGCUCUGAGCUCCAACCCCUCCCAUCUGAGAGAGCUGGACCUGAGCUACAAUCAUCCAGGAGACUCAGGAGUGGAGCUGCUGUCUGCUGGAGUCAAGGAUCCACACUGGAGACUGGACACUCUCAGGGUGGAGCCUGGUGGAGUCCAUUGGUUGAGACCAGGUCUGAGCAAGUAUUUCUGUCAACUCACCAUCGACACAAACACAGUGAACAGGAAACUACAACUGUCUGACAACAACAGGAAGGUGAUACGUGUGGAGGAGGAUCAGUCAUAUCCUGAUCAUCCAGACAGAUUUGACUACUGGCCUCAGCUUCUGUGUAGUAAUGGUCUAACUGGUCGCUGUUACUGGGAGGUUGAGUGGAGAGGAUAUGUUUAUAUAUCAGUGAGUUACAGAGGAAUCAGAAGGAAAGGAAUUAGUGAUGACUGUUUGUUUGGAUACAAUGAUCAUUCCUGGAGUCUGUACUGCUCUAAUGGUUGUUACUCUGUCAGACACAAUAACACAUUUACACCCAUCUCCUCCUCAGUGUCUGACAGAGUAUCAGUGUAUGUGGACUGUCCUGCUGGUUCUCUGUCCUUCUACAGAGUCUCCUCUGACUAACUGAUUCACUUUCACACCUUCAACACCACAUUCACUGAACCUCUUUAUCCAUAUGUGUUAUUAUAAUAUUUGUUUGUUUAUUAAUUUAUGUUGACAUUUUCUGUUGCACUAUUUUAUGAAACCAUUGUCACUUUCACAAACCCUGUUCUGUGGGUUUGUGGUUCCACAGCAUCAGGCUGAACUGGGUACAUGUUCUAUCAGGACUAAAACCUGGUUCCAUAGAGAACUGAUAACGUGUCUCUACCUGUCUGAGCCUGUGGCUACUUUUUGUGAUGAAGGCUACAUGCUACCUGUGCAGCUCAGUGUGUUCACAGACACUUGACUUCAGGAGCAGAGAGAGUCCAGUGUCACUAAGUACUGACUACACAUACUGUGUUUGGACUAGUUUCUCUGAUUUAGUCAGUAAAGUCAAAGGUUGUAGGUCUAAACUGACGUAAACACAAGAGUUCAGAGCAGUGUGUAUCAGGGGAUCCCAGGUUUCUACAAAACCAGUCCAGUUGUUGGUUCAGGUGUAGAACCUGACUCUUGAAGAUGCAUCACAUGUGAUCAAAGAGGAUUCCCACUGAACAAACACAGGAAGCUUCUCCACCUGCAUCUCUCUUCUUUCACGUCACACGUUGAGUCUGUAAAGUCAAGUGCGAAAUCUGCAGAGUGUUCAACUCAGUGAGAUGAGACCAACAUCAUGACAACCAUGAUAAACUCUAGUUGUGGAAAAAUUUAUCCAGGGACUGAAGGUUGUUCGUUCACAUGGUGUAGUUUAUGGAAAAGAGCAGUAACUGAACCGUCAGUGAUGUUAAACAAUGAGUCUGGUCUGUGUUCACACAGAGUCAUGAUCACACCAAUGAAGACUGUAGCUAAAGUCCUGCAGGAAAUGUGGAAUAACGUCUUUGUCUAACUUCACUAUGUCACUCAUGGCCUUGAUGUGAAGCUCCUCAAUGACUGACAGUAAUGAUGUCACUCAAAGUGACUGUAACACAGUAAUUUCACAUAAAAAGUAUUUAUGUGCAGAAAUAAUGAAAACAUAUCAAAAGGCAGCACAGACAGUGCAGGUUCAGCAGCUUGGUUCUACUUUUCCAUCCAUCCCUGUACAUCUGGUUCUGAAACACACAAUAAUAGUAGAACUUCACCUGGACGACAAACAGUCAGUUUAACAGCAUCAGUGAACAGGUUGAACUCCUCCUCUGCUUCUUCCCUCUGUGAUGGAGCUGCACUCCUACAAACAAUGUCCUUCCUGUUUCUGAAGCAUUUCAGGAACAAGAACAGGGCAAACCUGGAUCAGCUGAUUGUCUCCUCCCAUAAAGAAGAAGAGCAUCAGUCAAAGGGUCCAGUCGAUGGAUGGACUCAUUCAAACAUUCUAAGAAGGAACCGUGACCUCUGCUGCCUUCUCCACCUUAUCCAUACCCUGCUCAACUCGUAAUCUGAUACUGUAACUAAUGUAAACAUGAAAUACUGGAACAGCCAGACAAACGCUUGCUUGAAAAUCCUUGUUCUUUGCCCUGAUUGAACAUAAAACAGCAUCUUUUAGAGAGGGGGCGGAGCCUCGGUGAUCACGUGAUCCAGUAGCGAAACUGAACGUCUUCAGUAAGUUCUCCAUUUUGCAAGAACAGAGCAGAAGGAGAAAAAGUUAAAUAAACACCAGGAAGAAGAAGAAGAAACGUU